Molecule: ribosomal RNA, 465 nt
Filed under: Triticum aestivum (bread wheat)
Lineage: Eukaryota; Viridiplantae; Streptophyta; Magnoliopsida; Poales; Poaceae
Description: partial small subunit ribosomal RNA
Source: RNAcentral
GACCGGCAUCCGGAAUGGUUUCAAGGUCGUGCCAGCUACGCUCUGACCAAAGAAGAGAAGGUCAUCUUUUUUGAAUGCCUGAGCAGUAUGAAGGUCCCGUCUGGAUUCUCGUCCAAUAUAAAGGGAAUAAUAAACAUGGCGGAGAAAAAGUUCCAAAACCUAAAGUCUCAAGACUGCCACGUGAUUAUGACGCAAUUGCUUCCGAUUGCUUUGAGGGGGCUCCUGCCGGAAAAUGUUCGAGUAGCCAUUGUGAAGCUAUGUGCAUUCCUCAAUGCAAUCUCUCAGAAGGUAAUCAAUCCAGAAGUUCUACCACGGUUACAGAACGAUGUGAUCCAAUGCCUUGUCAGUUUCGAGUUGGUUGGGUUAAAGGUGGACGAGCAAUACGGAAUGACAAUGGUGGAUUUCAACAAUCUUGGUUACCUUGACGAACCAUUCGUCCUUGCCAAAGAUGUCGCUCAGGUUUUU